This 785-nucleotide long non-coding RNA is filed under the name Rhinopithecus bieti (black snub-nosed monkey). RNAcentral describes it as "lncRNA (ENSRBIG00000046106.1)". The record is from RNAcentral. Lineage: Eukaryota; Metazoa; Chordata; Mammalia; Primates; Cercopithecidae.
CUGGUCUUGAACUCCUGGCCUCAAGUGAUCCACCCGCCUCAGCAUCCAAAAGUGCUGGGAUUACAGGCAGGAGCACCGGCCUAAAUUUUUAGUGAUGUAACAGUUUUGAAUGUUAAUAUUAAAAUGCACAAAAUACUCAUCCUUUGCAUCUAUUUAAACUUAUAUUGUGUAAGUUAUCACGAGAAAGCUGUAGAAAUGAUCUUUACAAUGUGCAAGAGGAACAUAAAUUUUCAAAAUUCUUUUCAGAUUUAAGGGAAGAAGGUAUUUGACCCCACGACCAUAACGGGUGACCCUUGUGGUCAGAACUGAACACUAAAUGGAAGCUGCGCCCUCUUGUGGCCAUCGCGGAGGCUGCAGCAGAAAUGAGCAAGGAGUUCCAGAACGGAGGCAAUCAGGAGUCUUUAUUGUGUAUCUUGUGGGGGUUGGGGGGAGGCCUGGAGACAGCACUGUGACCUCCAAGUGACCACUGGGCCAAGCUCCAGGACAACAGGCUUCUCUUCAAGCCUAGGGAGCGCCUCCCUCCAGUAGCAGUGUGCGGUCAUUUACUGGACGUCUGGAAUUCUCAGAAUCACCCAGCCAUCACCAUCGCAAUACACGGCGUUUAUUGAGUGCUUACUUUGCACCAGGUACCAAGGAUUUUCCAGUUAUUUUCUCAUUUGAUCCUCAUAACAACCCAAUUAGAUAAGUACCAUUAUUAUCUCUAUUACCAAUGAAGAAAUUGUGGCUGAAGAUCCAGAGCCACUCUGAGGUUUCCCCCUUUUUUUUUUUUUUUUUUUUUUUGAGGC